RNAcentral lists this ribosomal RNA (433 nucleotides) under uncultured bacterium. RNAcentral describes it as "partial 16S ribosomal RNA". It matches the Rfam family "Bacterial small subunit ribosomal RNA", at positions 31 to 507 of the family's 1533-position model. The record is from RNAcentral.
AAAGAAAGCGGGGGGCAUGCCUAACACAUGCAAGUCGAACGAGACCUUCGGGUCUAGUGGCGCACGGGUGCGUAACGCGUGGGAACCUGCCCUUAGGUUCGGAAUAACUCCCCGAAAGGGGUGCUAAUACCGGAUAAUGUCUUCGGACCAAAGAUUUAUCGCCUUUGGAUGGGCCCGCGUUGGAUUAGCUAGUUGGUAGGGUAAAAGCCUACCAAGGCGACGAUCCAUAGCUGGUCUGAGAGGAUGAUCAGCCACACUGGGACUGAGACACGGCCCAGACUCCUACGGGAGGCAGCAGUGGGGAAUAUUGGACAAUGGGCGAAAGCCUGAUCCAGCAAUGCCGCGUGAGUGAUGAAGGCCUUAGGGUUGUAAAGCUCUUUUACCCGGGAUGAUAAUGACAGUACCGGGAGAAUAAGCUCCGGCUAACUCCGUG